GCUGAGGAUGAUGUAGAGGAGGUAUGAAAAAUAGAAGGUUUCAAUUUUGUAGAAUAUUAGGCAAUUCAUAAUAAUAGUUGGCUUCGUUAUUGUACACUUUGAAUGGAGAGCAUAACUUGAAUGACCACCUGUGAACUCUGGGCUUUCAAGGGUUCUGGGAGCUGCCUCAAUUUCCUGGGAGCCUCAGUGAAGACGACAUUAGGGUAGACAGUGAAAAUCCUGUGGCUAUGAUGUGAGGAUGUGAACAAAGAAGGGGAACAAAUACUCAUCCCAACCUCAGAAGUCAUUCAUUCAACACAUAUUUACUGACUUCCUUCCAGAUUGGGCUAGAAAGGCAAGGAACUCAUUAUGGGUUAGGAAGAAACUAGAUGAUCCAACUCUUAUCAUAGUCAUGAAUUGUUUUUAAUGUGACACUGCACAGUGUUCCUCAAAAGUAGAAAUAAUUGUUCUCGAGUUUCAGAAUUGGUGAAGUAUGAGAGCAAUGGCACAGGCUAUGGAACAGAUGGUAGCAAUGGCCCAUCUCUGCCACAAUUAUGAAUUGCUUGGAGUGCCUGGAGAUGAGGGAUGGUCCAGCUUCCCUUAGCAGUAGGAGCCUUCAUUGGAAGAGCAGGGCCUGGAACUUACUUGAUAGGGAGUGGAUUCGACACGCUGUCAAUGAAAACUCUGGUUGACUGGUUGUCUGGUUGUCCAAAGCCUGGGUUCUGCAUGGGUUGUCUGAUGGAUAGCUCUUGUUUUUCCUGUACAGUAUUGCUUCUCCCUAUUUUGCUAACAGAACCCUUAUUUCCUCUAGGAAAGCCAUUUCAUGCAACUCAGGUGAGGCUAACCCUGCCAUAGGUUUAACCUUUCAAAAUACUCAUCUUCCUGGUUCCUGUGACCGGAUAUGAUUCCUGUGGACAGAAUCCUCAAUGGACUUUUCUAGCAGAGCUCUUUUUGGCUAGGGGAAAGAGCUUAUCCAUGAGGUAAAGAGAAAUAUGGAACCAUGAAGACAUUGUUGAAACACCUGGAUCCAGCCUUACCUGAAGGGGAUUUGAAGUAGUGGGGGCCAAGGAGCCGGUGUGGCGG
Molecule: long non-coding RNA, 1062 nt
Filed under: Homo sapiens (human)
Lineage: Eukaryota; Metazoa; Chordata; Mammalia; Primates; Hominidae
Description: HSALNT0193721
Source: RNAcentral